This 71-nucleotide transfer RNA is filed under the name Staphylinoidea sp. 1 KM-2017. RNAcentral describes it as "tRNA-Lys". The record is from RNAcentral. Lineage: Eukaryota; Metazoa; Arthropoda; Insecta; Coleoptera.
CAUUAGGUGGCUGAAAAAUAAGUAAUGGUCUCUUAAACCAUCCUAUAGUAAAUAAUAACUACUUCUAAUGG